Molecule: transfer RNA, 75 nt
Filed under: Bacteroidales bacterium
Lineage: Bacteria; Pseudomonadati; Bacteroidota; Bacteroidia; Bacteroidales
Also listed under: 1 other name
Description: tRNA-Arg
Rfam family: tRNA
About the family: Transfer RNA (tRNA) molecules are approximately 80 nucleotides in length. Their secondary structure includes four short double-helical elements and three loops (D, anti-codon, and T loops).
Source: RNAcentral
GGACCCGUAGUUUAAUGGAUAGAAUAAAGGAUUCCGGUUCCUUCGAUCAGGGUUCGAUUCCCUGCGGGUUCACCA